This 475-nucleotide ribosomal RNA is filed under the name uncultured organism. RNAcentral's name for it is "partial 16S ribosomal RNA". It matches the Rfam family "Bacterial small subunit ribosomal RNA", at positions 332 to 798 of the family's 1533-position model. The record is from RNAcentral.
UACACUCCUGCGGGAGGCAGCAGUGGGGAAUUUUGGACAAUGGGCGAAAGCCUGAUCCAGCAAUGCCGCGUGAGUGAAGAAGGCCUUCGGGUUGUAAAGCUCUUUUGUCAGGGAAGAAACGGUGAAAGCUAAUAUCUUUUGCUAAUGACGGUACCUGAAGAAUAAGCACCGGCUAACUACGUGCCAGCAGCCGCGGUAAUACGUAGGGUGCAAGCGUUAAUCGGAAUUACUGGGCGUAAAGCGUGCGCAGGCGGUUUUGUAAGUCUGAUGUGAAAUCCCCGGGCUCAACCUGGGAAUUGCAUUGGAGACUGCAAGGCUAGAAUCUGGCAGAGGGGGGUAGAAUUCCACGUGUAGCAGUGAAAUGCGUAGAUAUGUGGAGGAACACCGAUGGCGAAGGCAGCCCCCUGGGUCAAGAUUGACGCUCAUGCACGAAAGCGUGGGGAGCAAACAGGAUUAGAUACCCGUGUAGUCCCAU